AGAGAGAGACAUGCGCGCAUAUCAAUAAGCGGAGGAAAAGAAACUAACAAGGAUUCCCCUAGUAACGGCGAGUGAAGCGGGAAGAGCUCAAAUUUGAAAUCUUAAAGGGUUUCCCUUUACGAAUUGUAGUUUAAAGAAGUGUUUUCUGUUGAGGUUUUGGUAAAAGUUCUUUGGAAUAGGACAUCAUAGAGGGUGAGAAUCCCGUAUUUGACCUUUACUUUCAACUUUGUGAUACACUUUCAAAGAGUCGGAUUGUUUGGGAAUGCAGUCCAAAAUGGGUGGUAAAUUUCAUCUAAAGCUAAAUAUUGGCGAGAGACCGAUAGCGAACAAGUACCGUGAGGGAAAGAUGAAAAGAGCUUUAGAAAAGAGAGUUAAACAGUACGUGAAAUUGUCAAAAGGGAAGCGUUUGACACCAGUGUUGUUUUUCUGAAAAUCAAUUAAAGAACUGUUUAUGCUAAGCUGUUUAGACUUUAUCAGCUAUCUGUUUAGUUUUGAGCUUUUCUUUAAUGCACUUUUCAGUUAACAAGUCAACAUCAAUUUCUUUUGCUGUAAAAAAGCUUGAGGAAGGUGGCUUGAGAUUCGUCUUAAGUGUUUAUAGCCUCUUGCCUAUGCAGUCGGAGAGAUUGAGGUCUGCAGCGUAGAUCCUUCGGGGCUAAAUGCAUUUGUGCUAAGUUAUAGCGUUUUAUAGACAACUUGUUGACUAUGAUUUGUCUUGUAGCUUACUCGCUUAUGUUAUUUUACCUACGCUUAGGAUGUUGACGCAUGAGAUAUACGC
Molecule: ribosomal RNA, 775 nt
Filed under: uncultured Neocallimastigales
Lineage: Eukaryota; Fungi; Neocallimastigomycota; Neocallimastigomycetes; Neocallimastigales
Description: partial large subunit ribosomal RNA
Rfam family: Eukaryotic large subunit ribosomal RNA
Source: RNAcentral